AGCAGCCGCGGUAAUUCCAGCUCCAAUAGCGUAUAUUAAAGUUGCUGCAGUUAAAAAGCUCGUAGUUGAAUUUCGGGAUCAAUAUGUUGGUCGUGCCUCGGUACGUACUAGCUUAUUGGUUUCUUCCUUCUGACGAACCAUAAUGUCAUUUAUUUGGUGUUAUGGGGAAUCAGGACUGUUACUUUGAAAAAAUUAGAGUGUUUAAAGCAGGCUCACGCUUGAAUACAUUAGCAUGGAAUAAUGAAAUAGGACGUUUGAUUCUAUUUUGUUGGUUUCUAGGAUCGACGUAAUGAUUAAUAGGGAUAGUUGGGGGCAUUAGUAUUCAAUUGUCAGAGGUGAAAUUCUUGGAUUUAUUGAAGACUAACUACUGCGAAAGCAUUUGCCAAGGAUGUUUUCAUUAAUCAAGAACGAAAGUUAGGGGAUCGAAGACGAUCAGAUACCGUCGUAGUCUUAACCAUAAACUAUGCCGACUAGGGAUCGGAUGAUGUUAAUUUUUAAUGACUCAUUCGGCGCCUUAACC
This 520-nucleotide unclassified non-coding RNA is filed under the name uncultured Glomus. RNAcentral's name for it is "SSU rRNA". It matches the Rfam family "Eukaryotic small subunit ribosomal RNA", at positions 569 to 1093 of the family's 1831-position model. The record is from RNAcentral. RNAcentral also lists the same sequence under 1 other name. Lineage: Eukaryota; Fungi; Glomeromycota; Glomeromycetes; Glomerales; Glomeraceae.